AAUGAACGCUGGCGGCGUGCCUAACACAUGCAAGUCGAACGAACAGACGAGGAGCUUGCGCUCCUGCGGUUGGCGGGGGACGGGCGAGUAACGCAUAGAUAGCCUACCACUAAGACGUGGAUAAUAACGGAAAACCGCUUCUAAUACUGGAUCAUAUAUCGAACGGGUGGGAGCAAGAGUGAAAGACGCUUUUCGUGUUAGUAAUAGCCGAAUCCGGGUCGGAUUAGCUAGUUGGUAAGGUAACGGCUAACCAAGGCGACGAAGCGUAGCCGACCUGAGAGGAUGAUCCGCCACACUGGAACUGAGACACGGUCCAGACUCCUACGGGAGGCAGCAGUAGGGAAUCUUGGGCAAUGGGCGCAAGCCUGACGGAGCAACGCCGCGUGGGUGAUGAAGGUCUUCGGGUCGUAAAGCUCUUUUAUUGGGGAAGAACAGAAGUGUAAUUAACUCUGCACGUCUUGACGGUACCUAAUCAAAAAGCCCCGGCUAACUUCGUG
RNAcentral lists this ribosomal RNA (497 nucleotides) under uncultured bacterium. Its description in RNAcentral is "partial 16S ribosomal RNA". It matches the Rfam family "Bacterial small subunit ribosomal RNA", at positions 29 to 507 of the family's 1533-position model. The record is from RNAcentral.